UUAAAUGAGGGCCGCACAUUGGACAUGGAUCUUGUUUUUCUCUUUGACAACAGUAAAAUCACCUAUGAAACUCAGAUCUCCCCACGGCCCCAACCUGAAAGUGUCAGCUGUAUCCUUCAAGAGCCCAAGAGGAACCUCGCCUUCUUCCAGCUGAGGAAGGUGUGGGGCCAGGUCUGGCACAGCAUCCAGACCCUGAAGGAGGAUUGCAACCGGCUGCAGCAGGGACAGCGAGCCGCCAUGAUGAAUCUCCUCCGAAACAACAGCUGCCUCUCUAAGAUGAAGAAUUCCAUGGCUUCCAUGUCUCAGCAGCUCAAGGCCAAGUUGGAUUUCUUCAAAACCAGCAUCCAGAUUGACCUGGAGAAGUACAGCGAGCAAACCGAGUUUGGGAUCACAUCAGAUAAACUGCUGCUGGCCUGGAGGGAAAUGGAGCAGGCUGUGGAGCUCUGUGGGCGGAUGGCCCUGUUAGAAGCCUAUUUUAUGCAAAAGGAAACUGUAGCU
Molecule: small RNA, 498 nt
Filed under: Pongo abelii (Sumatran orangutan)
Lineage: Eukaryota; Metazoa; Chordata; Mammalia; Primates; Hominidae
Description: processed transcript
Source: RNAcentral